CUAGUCUCUUCCUAAAUAUUUAAAAAUUAACUUCUAGGUGAAGAGGGGUAAAUAAAACUAAGGGACGAGAAGACCCUAUUGAGCUUUAGUGAAGCAAUAAGUUUUGAGUGUAAUUAAAUUUACCGAAUGGGCAAUAUAUUUAUAGACUUCUAUUGUGUGGUGAAUCUUGAGUCGGGGCGACUGACGAACAAAAAAAGCUUCCUUUGUAUGAUAACAUUCUGAUUUAUCUGAUACGAUGUUAGCUAGCUAUUUGAUCCACUAUUUUUUGAUUAAGGUGUCCUGAGGGGGUUGCACAAAUUGACAAGAAGGGGUUUGCGACCUCGAUGUCGACUUAGG
RNAcentral lists this ribosomal RNA (336 nucleotides) under Austrocochlea porcata. RNAcentral describes it as "partial 16S large subunit ribosomal RNA". Lineage: Eukaryota; Metazoa; Mollusca; Gastropoda; Trochida; Trochidae. The record is from RNAcentral.